This 1296-nucleotide ribosomal RNA is filed under the name Saccharum spontaneum (wild sugarcane). RNAcentral's name for it is "bacterial SSU rRNA". The stretch from base 253 to 1296 matches the Rfam family "Bacterial small subunit ribosomal RNA". Lineage: Eukaryota; Viridiplantae; Streptophyta; Magnoliopsida; Poales; Poaceae. The record is from RNAcentral.
ACUAAUUUUCAUUUUUCCUUUUUGUUUGCUGAAUGAGUCUAAUGUUAGUGUACUAGCAAGCAAUAAGGCCAUUGUUGUAUUGUUUGCUGACAUAAUUUCUUGGUUUUAGAAUUUUUGCCAGUUGGCAAUUGAAGACGAUAGCAUUGAGACAAACAUGGGAAGACAUGAGGUAGGUAAAUAAAGAAGAAGAAAAACUAUAGUCUGCAUCUUUGCGACAGCAAGUUAGUGUUAAUAUGACAUUUUGUUUAGGUAGUAAGUUAGUGUUUUAAUCUGGCAUUACCAUGUAUUGUGCAGGUGAGCAAUUGCCAGAUUGAAGCACUUACAAGAUCAUCGUUUCUUGGUCUUUUGUAGCUUUGACUUACAUGGAUGACAAGGCAGUACCCUGGACAGGCGGUUGGAAUUUACACAAGCGGAGUACGGUAGGGGCAGAGGGAAUUCCGGUGGAGCGGGAAAUGAUGAGAUCGAAAGAACACCAACGGCGAACGAAUAGAAAGCCACUUGCUGGGCCGACACUGACAAUGAGAGAGACGGAAAAGCGAGGGGACAAAGGGGAUUAGAGACCCCAUAGUCUAGCGUAACGAUGGAUACUAGGUGCUUUGCGACUCGACCCGUGAAGUGCUGCGAGCUAACGCGUUAAAGUAUCCGCCUGGGAGUACGUUCGCAAGAAUGAAACUCAAAGGAAUUGACGGGGCGCCCGCACAAGGGUGGAGCAUGUUGGUGUAAUUCGAUUGCAAAGCGAAGAACCUUACAGGGCUUGACAUGCCGCGAAUCCUCUGAAAGAGAGGGGUGCCAUCGGGAACGGGACACAGGUGGUGCAUGGCUGUCGUCAGCUCGUGCCGUAGGGGUUGGGUUAAUCUAGCGCAAACGAGCGCAACCCUCGUUGAGUUGCCACUAUGAGUUUUGGAAAACCCCUGAACAGACCGCCGGUGUUAAGCCGGAGGAAGGAGAGGAUGAGGCCAAGUCAUCAUGCCCCUUAUGCCCUGGCGACACAGUGCUACAAAUGGGCGGGAAAAGGGUUCGCGAUCUCGCGAGGGUGAGGCUCUUAACUCCAAAAACCCGUCCUCAGUCGGAUGCGGCUGCAACUCGCAUCAUGAAGAGGAAUCGCUAGUAAUCGCCGGUCAGCCAUACGGCGGUGAAUCCGUUCCCGGGCCUUGUACACACGCCCGGCACACUAUAGGAGCUGGCAAGGUUUGAAGUCAGUACCUUAACCGUAAGGAGGGGGAUGCCUAAGGCUAGGCUUGCGACUGGAGUGAGAGUUCGUGCGUAAACAAGUAGCCGUACUGGAAGGUGCGGCUG